ACGAUGAAGAGUUUGAUCCUGGCUCAGGAUGAACGCUAGCGGCAGGCCUAACACAUGCAAGUCGAGGGGUAUAAAGUGCUUGCACUUUAGAGACCGGCGCACGGGUGCGUAACGCGUAUGCAAUCUACCUAUUGCAGGGGAAUAGCCCAGAGAAAUUUGGAUUAAUGCCCCAUAGUACUAUUGAAUAGCAUUUUUUAAUAGUUAAAGAUUUAUCGGCAAUAGAUGAGCAUGCGUCCUAUUAGCUAGUUGGUGUGGUAACGGCACACCAAGGCAACGAUAGGUAGGGGUCCUGAGAGGGAGAUCCCCCACACUGGUACUGAGACACGGACCAGACUCCUACGGGAGGCAGCAGUGAGGAAUAUUGGACAAUGGGCGAGAGCCUGAUCCAGCCAUGCCGCGUGCAGGAAGACUGCCUUAUGGGUUGUAAACUGCUUUUAUACAGGAAGAAACAUCCCGACGUGUCGGGACUUGACGGUACUGUAAGAAUAAGGAUCGGCUAACUCCGUGCCAGCAGCCGCGGUAAUACGGAGGAUCCAAGCGUUAUCCGGAAUCAUUGGGUUUAAAGGGUCCGUAGGCGGGCAGCUAAGUCAGUGGUGAAAGUCUGUGGCUCAACCAUAGAAUUGCCAUUGAUACUGGUUGUCUUGAAUUACUAUGAAGUGGUUAGAAUAUGUAGUGUAGCGGUGAAAUGCUUAGAUAUUACAUGGAAUACCAAUUGCGAAGGCAGAUCACUAAUAGUAUAUUGACGCUGAGGGACGAAAGCGUGGGUAGCGAACAGGAUUAGAUACCCUGGUAGUCCACGCCGUAAACGAUGGAUACUAGCUGUUGGACCGCAAGGUUCAGUGGCUAAGCGAAAGUGAUAAGUAUCCCACCUGGGGAGUACGUUCGCAAGAAUGAAACUCAAAGGAAUUGACGGGGGCC
This 918-nucleotide ribosomal RNA is filed under the name Flavobacteriaceae bacterium CG_4_8_14_3_um_filter_34_10. RNAcentral describes it as "bacterial SSU rRNA". It matches the Rfam family "Bacterial small subunit ribosomal RNA", at positions 1 to 921 of the family's 1533-position model. The record is from RNAcentral. Lineage: Bacteria; Pseudomonadati; Bacteroidota; Flavobacteriia; Flavobacteriales; Flavobacteriaceae.